RNAcentral lists this ribosomal RNA (423 nucleotides) under uncultured bacterium. RNAcentral describes it as "bacterial SSU rRNA". It matches the Rfam family "Bacterial small subunit ribosomal RNA", at positions 506 to 927 of the family's 1533-position model. The record is from RNAcentral.
UGCCAGCAGCCGCGGUAAUACGUAGGGGGCGAGCGUUGUCCGGAUUUAUUGGGCGUAAAGAGCGCGUAGGCGGCUUGCCAAGUCGUGCGUGAAAUACCCCGGCUCAACCGGGGGGAGUCGUGCGAUACUGGUAGGCUUGAGGCCGGUAGGGGGAAGUGGAAUUCCCGGUGUAGUGGUGGAAUGCGUAGAUAUCGGGAGGAACACCAGUGGCGAAGGCGGCUUCCUGGACCGGUCCUGACGCUGAGGCGCGAAAGCGUGGGGAGCGAACUGAAUUAGAUACUCAGGUAGUCCACGCUGUAAACGAUGGAUGCUAGGUGUCGGGGGUAUCGACCCCUCCGGUGCCGCAGCUAACGCAUUAAGCAUCCCGCCUGGGGAGUACGGCCGCAAGGCUAAAACUCAAAGGAAUUGACGGGGGCCCGCACA